RNAcentral lists this ribosomal RNA (548 nucleotides) under uncultured bacterium. Its description in RNAcentral is "bacterial SSU rRNA". It matches the Rfam family "Bacterial small subunit ribosomal RNA", at positions 355 to 896 of the family's 1533-position model. The record is from RNAcentral.
UGGGGAAUUUUGGACGAUGGGCGCANCCNUGAUCCAGCAAUGCCGCGUGCAGGAAGAAGGCCUUCGGGUUGUAAACUGCUUUUGUCGGGGAAGAAAUCUUCUGGGCUAAUACCCCGGGAGGAUGACGGUACCUGAAGAAUAAGCACCGGCUAACUACGUGCCAGCAGCCGCGGUAAUACGUAGGGUGCGAGCGUUAAUCGGAAUUACUGGGCGUAAAGCGUGCGCAGGCGGCUUUGCAAGACAGAUGUGAAAUCCCCGGGCUCAACCUGGGAACUGCAUUUGUGACUGCAAGGCUAGAGUACGGCAGAGGGGGAUGGAAUUCCGCGUGUAGCAGUGAAAUGCGUAGAUAUGCGGAGGAACACCAAUGGCGAAGGCAAUCCCCUGGGCCUGUACUGACGCUCAUGCACGAAAGCGUGGGGAGCAAACAGGAUUAGAUACCCUGGUAGUCCACGCCCUAAACGAUGUCAACUGGUUGUUGGACGGCUUGCUGUUCAGUAACGAAGCUAACGCGUGAAGUUGACCGCCUGGGGAGUACGGCCGCAAGGUUG